Molecule: ribosomal RNA, 253 nt
Filed under: uncultured bacterium
Lineage: Bacteria
Description: partial 16S ribosomal RNA
Rfam family: Bacterial small subunit ribosomal RNA
Source: RNAcentral
UACGUAGGGGGCAAGCGUUGUCCGGAUUCAUUGGGCGUAAAGAGCGUGUAGGCGGCCAGGUAGGUCGGUUGUGAAAAUUGGAGGCUCAACCUUCAGAGGUCGACCGAAACCAUCUGGCUAGAGUCCGGGAGAGGAGAGUGGAAUUCCUGGUGUAGCGGUGAAAUGCGCAGAUAUCAGGAAGAACACCCGUGGCGAAAGCGGCUCUCUGGAACGGUACUGACGCUGAGACGCGAAAGCGUGGGGAGCGAACAGG